RNAcentral lists this ribosomal RNA (301 nucleotides) under uncultured bacterium. RNAcentral describes it as "partial 16S ribosomal RNA". It matches the Rfam family "Bacterial small subunit ribosomal RNA", at positions 509 to 809 of the family's 1533-position model. The record is from RNAcentral.
CAGCAGCCGCGGGAAUACAGAGGGUGCGAGCGUUAAUCGGAUUUACUGGGCGUAAAGCGUGCGUAGGCGGCUUCUUAAGUCGGAUGUGAAAUCCCUGAGCUUAACUUAGGAAUUGCAUUCGAUACUGGGAAGCUAGAGUAUGGGAGAGGAUGGUAGAAUUCCAGGUGUAGCGGUGAAAUGCGUAGAGAUCUGGAGGAAUACCGAUGGCGAAGGCAGCCAUCUGGCCUAAUACUGACGCUGAGGUGCGAAAGCGUGGGGAGCAAACAGGAUUAGAUACCCCUGUAGUCCCUGUCUCUUAUAA